CCUACGGGCGGCUGCAGUGGGGAAUCUUGCACAAUGGGGGAAACCCUGAUGCAGCGACGCCGCGUGAGUGAAGAAGUAUUUCGGUACGUAAAGCUCUAUCAGCAGGGAAGAAAAUGACGGUACCUGACUAAGAAGCCCCGGCUACCGACGUGCCAGCAGCCGCGGUAAUACGUAGGGGGCAAGCGUUAUCCGGAUUUACUGGGUGUAAAGGGAGCGGAGGCGGGAGCGCAAGUCUGAAGGGAAAUCACAUGGCUUAACCAUGGAACUGCUUUGGAAACCGUGCAGCUGGAGUACAGGAGAGGUAAGCGGAAUUCGUAGUGUAGCGGUGAAAGGCGGAGAUAUUAGGAGGAACACCAGUGGCGAAGGCGGCUUACUGGACUGUAACUGACGUUGAGGCUCGAAGGCGUGGGGAGCAAACAGGAUUAGAUACCCGAGUAGUC
RNAcentral lists this ribosomal RNA (440 nucleotides) under uncultured bacterium. RNAcentral's name for it is "partial 16S ribosomal RNA". It matches the Rfam family "Bacterial small subunit ribosomal RNA", at positions 338 to 795 of the family's 1533-position model. The record is from RNAcentral.